RNAcentral lists this transfer RNA (82 nucleotides) under Brachybacterium kimchii. RNAcentral's name for it is "Brachybacterium sp. CBA3104 tRNA-Leu". It matches the Rfam family "tRNA". From Rfam's summary of the family: Transfer RNA (tRNA) molecules are approximately 80 nucleotides in length. Their secondary structure includes four short double-helical elements and three loops (D, anti-codon, and T loops). Further hydrogen bonds mediate the characteristic L-shaped molecular structure. tRNAs have two regions of fundamental functional importance: the anti-codon, which is responsible for specific mRNA codon recognition, and the 3' end, to which the tRNAs corresponding amino acid is attached (by aminoacyl-tRNA synthetases). tRNAs cope with the degeneracy of the genetic code in two manners: having more than one tRNA (with a specific anti-codon) for a particular amino acid; and 'wobble' base-pairing, i.e. permitting non-standard base-pairing at the 3rd anti-codon position. The record is from RNAcentral. Lineage: Bacteria; Bacillati; Actinomycetota; Actinomycetes; Micrococcales; Dermabacteraceae.
GCCCGCCUGGCGGAACUGGUAGACGCGCCGAGCUCAAACCUCGGUGCCGCGAGGCAUCCGGGUUCGAUCCCCGGGGCGGGCA